AAGUCGUAACAAGGUUUCCGUAGGUGAACCUGCGGAAGGAUCAUUAACACGUAUCCAACGUUAAACCCCCCGUGCACCUUCACAGAGCGCGCUGCUCCUCUCGACGUCAGCAAUCCUGGUACGCCGAAGCGGACAGACUGCAGGGUGUAGUGCCCCUUUACGACGACCAAGUUAAAUUAGGCCUCUACCACAUAGCAAGUGCGCCGUGGUAGAGGAAAACGUACAACUGUUAACAAUGGAUAUCUUGGUUCUC
RNAcentral lists this unclassified non-coding RNA (253 nucleotides) under fungal sp. Its description in RNAcentral is "partial internal transcribed spacer region". The stretch from base 1 to 46 matches the Rfam family "Eukaryotic small subunit ribosomal RNA", at positions 1786 to 1831 of the family's 1831-position model. Lineage: Eukaryota; Fungi. The record is from RNAcentral.